CACGUAGGUGGUUACGUAUGUCGAUGGUGAAAUCCUAUGGCUCAACCGUAGAACUGCCAUCGAAACUACGUAGCUAGAGGACAGGAGGGGAGAGUGGAAUUCCUAGUGUAGCGGUGAAAUGCGUAGAUAUUAGGAGGAACGCCGGUGGCGAAAGCGACUCUCUGGACUGUUUCUGACACUGAGGUGCGAAAGCUAGGGGAGCAAACA
RNAcentral lists this ribosomal RNA (207 nucleotides) under uncultured bacterium. RNAcentral's name for it is "partial 16S ribosomal RNA". It matches the Rfam family "Bacterial small subunit ribosomal RNA", at positions 568 to 774 of the family's 1533-position model. The record is from RNAcentral.